CACUCCUGCGGGAGGCAGCAGUGGGGAAUAUUGCACAAUGGGCGCAAGCCUGAUGCAGCCAUGCCGCGUGUAUGAAGAAGGCCUUCGGGUUGUAAAGUACUUUCAGCGGGGAGGAAGGCGAUAAGGUUAAUAACCUUGUUGAUUGACGUUACCCGCAGAAGAAGCACCGGCUAACUCCGUGCCAGCAGCCGCGGUAAUACGGAGGGUGCAAGCGUUAAUCGGAAUUACUGGGCGUAAAGCGCACGCAGGCGGUCUGUCAAGUCGGAUGUGAAAUCCCCGGGCUCAACCUGGGAACUGCAUUCGAAACUGGCAGGCUAGAGUCUUGUAGAGGGGGGUAGAAUUCCAGGUGUAGCGGUGAAAUGCGUAGAGAUCUGGAGGAAUACCGGUGGCGAAGGCGGCCCCCUGGACAAAGACUGACGCUCAGGUGCGAAAGCGUGUGGAGCAAACAGGAUUAGAUACCCGUGUAGUCCC
Molecule: ribosomal RNA, 471 nt
Filed under: uncultured organism
Description: partial 16S ribosomal RNA
Rfam family: Bacterial small subunit ribosomal RNA
Source: RNAcentral